RNAcentral lists this long non-coding RNA (1290 nucleotides) under Anser brachyrhynchus (Pink-footed goose). Its description in RNAcentral is "lncRNA (ENSABRG00000008479.1)". The record is from RNAcentral. Lineage: Eukaryota; Metazoa; Chordata; Aves; Anseriformes; Anatidae.
GGGGUAUUUGAAUGAAAAAAAUACAUUAAGAGGCUUCGUGCUUUGAUGGGAAGCGGGGUGGGGAUGAAAAAGGUUUGUCUGAGCUUUGUCGAAAGGGGGGAAUUAAAAAGGGGGUUGGGGGGGUUGCUGAUAAAUGAGGACAAAAAAAGGGGGGUUGGGAGUGUUUCCAACUGUAAAAGCAACGUGGCACAAGCACAAACAUGUACUCACCUGUGAUUUAAACCAUUUUUCCCCCAAAAGAUUUCUGAUUGUUUUGGGGAAAAACAGCCUUUUUGCCAGGACCCCCCCCCCAGAGUGACACAGCAGGAACAAAACCGGGUGAAAAUGACGCAAAAACCCCACAAUGACAGCGCUGGAAAAAAAAUGAAGACGUCCAAAAGAAAAAAGCCCCCGGGAGGCUUUUAGAAGGAGGAAAAUGGGAAGAUUUCGGAAAGAAGAGCCCGGAGGAGCGCAGGCGGCCGCGGGCCCGGCAGGGUGAGCGGAGAUUUUUGGUGCAGGAUCAGGGGAAAACGGGGCUUUUCACAAGCCGCCAGCCGGAGGGUGUGGAGCCGAAGAGGAAGCAGAGGAGGAAAAAAAAAAAAAAACAGGAAAAAAAUAAAUCAAGAGUGAAGAUAAAAUGUAGACGUGAGGAAGAUUUAAAAAUCGAAGAGAGAAAACGCCAAAUUCUAAUUAAUUUGAUGAAGGAGGCUGACGAGCGGCUCCAGCCCGGCUUCACGCCAACCCCGAAUUAACCCAAUCGCGGCCGUUUUUCCCCAAACCGCCGAGGGCGCGCCUGCUUCACGCAGCCGGAAAAGCCGAGAUUUGAGCCCAAAAAUGGCGAGGGGAGGAGGAGGAGGAGGUUGUAGAGGCCGAGGAGAGGCGCGCGGGUGCGGGAGGCUUCCCAAACCCCCAGCCAGGUGUAGAAGAGCGGCAGCGACGCGCCUGGGCAGGAGGAAAAAAAAGAGGAGGAAAAAAGGACAUUUUGGUUAAAAGCUGCUUGCUGGGAAGGACGCAGGGAGGCGAGAAGGCGGCAGCAAAACGCCAGUGGAGGAGGAAGCAGAAAAUAGGAAAAGAGGAGAAAAUAGAGCAAAGAAAAAGAGCAAAUAAUAGACAAAAAGGAGGAGAAAACAGAAAAAAUAGGAAAAAAAAAAAGAAGAGGGGAAAGAAUAGAAAAAAUGAAGAGGGCAGAAAAUAGAAAAAAGAAAAUAGAAAAAAGAAGAGGGCAGAAAAUAGAAAAAAGAAAAUAGAAAAAAGAAGAGGGCAGAAAAUAGAAAAAAGAAAAUAGAAAAAAGAAGAAUAGAAAAAAGAAAA